RNAcentral lists this non-coding RNA (25 nucleotides) under Cricetulus griseus (Chinese hamster). The record is from RNAcentral. Lineage: Eukaryota; Metazoa; Chordata; Mammalia; Rodentia; Cricetidae.
CAUUGAUAUCAAGACUGGCCUGAUC